Molecule: long non-coding RNA, 629 nt
Filed under: Olea europaea subsp. europaea
Lineage: Eukaryota; Viridiplantae; Streptophyta; Magnoliopsida; Lamiales; Oleaceae
Source: RNAcentral
CUACAGUAAUUCUUUUUUGCAAUCUUCAAUAGUGGAACCCGAAAUUAAGGGGCCUUUCGGGGUUUCCACCCGAUUGUUAUCUUCAUCACGUGGUGUGCUAUUGCGCGGAAGAUUGUUGUUGCUUGAACCCAAUGUUAAAAUACCCUUUGGUGUUGCCAUUUUUUGAUUUCAAACCACAGGAGAGAGAUGAAAUAAGUUGGUGUGUAAGCUUUUUUUUCCAGUAUGCUCUGUGUGGAGUAGGCUCAAUCCUCCAAUAGGGUUAAUAUACAAAUUGCAAAAUAUCCCCAAACGGCAGAAUCUCAAUACGUAUCGCGGAUUUUGUGAUGAACCCUUCAACUGAGGUAGGAAAAUGCACGGAUUUGUGAGAUUUCGGGAUGGGUCUGCAGAGUAUCGCUAUUAGGGACAACAUUUCCGCCAAAAAAAUCCUAAAAAUAUACGAAACUCUUGUGUUGGUUUUAUAUUAUACGGCAAAAUUUUUGAAAUAAAGCUAAGAUUUGAGGAUGAAGAAACCAAAGAUUGAGAUGAAAUGGGGGGAGUCAUUAGAAGGAGAUGAAAUGGGGGAAUCAUUAGAACGCUGAUAUGGAUUUCUUCUGAUUUGGGAAUUUUGGGCAAAAUAUUCGGGACUGUUG